This 111-nucleotide small RNA is filed under the name Carlito syrichta (Philippine tarsier). Its description in RNAcentral is "Y RNA (ENSTSYG00000033404.1)". Lineage: Eukaryota; Metazoa; Chordata; Mammalia; Primates; Tarsiidae. The record is from RNAcentral.
GAUUUGGGGCUAGUAUGAAGUUAUCUCAAUUGAUUGUUCAUAGCAGUUACAGACUGAACUCCUUGUUCUACUCUCUUCCCCAUUCUCACUACUGCACUUGACCGAUCUUUA